This 74-nucleotide transfer RNA is filed under the name Bacteroidota bacterium. Its description in RNAcentral is "Bacteroidetes bacterium (activated sludge metagenome) tRNA-Ala". It matches the Rfam family "tRNA". Rfam says of the family: Transfer RNA (tRNA) molecules are approximately 80 nucleotides in length. Their secondary structure includes four short double-helical elements and three loops (D, anti-codon, and T loops). Further hydrogen bonds mediate the characteristic L-shaped molecular structure. tRNAs have two regions of fundamental functional importance: the anti-codon, which is responsible for specific mRNA codon recognition, and the 3' end, to which the tRNAs corresponding amino acid is attached (by aminoacyl-tRNA synthetases). tRNAs cope with the degeneracy of the genetic code in two manners: having more than one tRNA (with a specific anti-codon) for a particular amino acid; and 'wobble' base-pairing, i.e. permitting non-standard base-pairing at the 3rd anti-codon position. Lineage: Bacteria; Pseudomonadati; Bacteroidota. The record is from RNAcentral.
GGGGCAUUAGCUCAUUUGGCUAGAGCACUUGCCUGGCAGGCAAGGGGUGACCGGUUCGAAUCCGGUAUUCUCCA